UACAGAGGGGGCGAGCGUUGUUCGGAAUUACUGGGCGUAAAGGGCGCGUAGGCGGCCCGCUAAGUCGAACGUGAAAUCCCCAGGCUCAACCUGGGAACUGCGUCCGAUACUGGCAGGCUUGAAUCCGGGAGAGGGAUGCGGAAUUCCAGGUGUAGCGGUGAAAUGCGUAGAUAUCUGGAGGAACACCGGUGGCGAAGGCGGCAUCCUGGGCCGUACUGACGCUGAGGAGCGAAAGCGUGGGGAGCGAACCGG
RNAcentral lists this ribosomal RNA (252 nucleotides) under uncultured bacterium. RNAcentral describes it as "partial 16S ribosomal RNA". It matches the Rfam family "Bacterial small subunit ribosomal RNA", at positions 524 to 776 of the family's 1533-position model. The record is from RNAcentral.